RNAcentral lists this ribosomal RNA (469 nucleotides) under uncultured bacterium. RNAcentral's name for it is "bacterial SSU rRNA". It matches the Rfam family "Bacterial small subunit ribosomal RNA", at positions 329 to 795 of the family's 1533-position model. The record is from RNAcentral.
UGCCAGACUCCUACGGGAGGCAGCAGUGAGGAAUAUUGGUCAAUGGGCGCGAGCCUGAACCAGCCAAGUCGCGUGAGGGAGGACGGCCCUACGGGUUGUAAACCUCUUUUGCCGGGGAGCAACGGGCGUCACGUGUGGCGCCACUGAGAGUACCCGGAGAAAAAGCAUCGGCUAACUCCGUGCCAGCAGCCGCGGUAAUACGGAGGAUGCGAGCGUUAUCCGGAUUUAUUGGGUUUAAAGGGGGCGCAGGCGGAAGAUCAAGUCAGCGGUAAAAUUGAGAGGCUCAACCUCUUCGAGCCGUUGAAACUGGUUUUCUUGAGUGAGCGAGAAGUAUGCGGAAUGCGUGGUGUAGCGGUGAAAUGCAUAGAUAUCACGCAGAACUCCGAUUGCGAAGGCAGCAUACCGGCGCUCAACUGACGCUCAUGCACGAAAGUGUGGGUAUCGAACAGGAUUAGAUACCCCGGUAGAG